RNAcentral lists this long non-coding RNA (204 nucleotides) under Mytilus galloprovincialis (Mediterranean mussel). Lineage: Eukaryota; Metazoa; Mollusca; Bivalvia; Mytilida; Mytilidae. The record is from RNAcentral.
GGGGGUCCUUGAAUUAAUUAAGAUUGUUCAUAAAUACAAGUUUCUUCUUCAUUUUUGUUGAUAAUUUAAAUUAAUUUCCCAGGUUUGGGUACUUAGGGUUGUGCGCUCACAUUUAUGUUGAAUUCGUUACACAUUUUAAAUUAGAAGCCUGUAAUGAUUGCUUUUCAAGUAUUGUUCAGUCAAAAUUCAGACCAUUGUUUUUUG